UCCUCGUUAGCUGAGUUGGUAGAGCGCUCCACUGGAGGUGGAGGGGUCUCUGGUUCGACUCCAGGACCAGGCG
Ixodes scapularis (black-legged tick) is the source of this 73-nucleotide non-coding RNA. The record is from Rfam. Lineage: Eukaryota; Metazoa; Arthropoda; Arachnida; Ixodida; Ixodidae.